UGGGGAAUAUUGCACAAUGGGGGAAACCCUGAUGCAGCGACGCCGCGUGAGCGAAGAAGUAUUUCGGUAUGUAAAGCUCUAUCAGCAGGGAAGAAACUGACGGUACCUGACUAAGAAGCACCGGCUAAAUACGUGCCAGCAGCCGCGGUAAUACGUAUGGUGCAAGCGUUAUCCGGAUUUACUGGGUGUAAAGGGAGCGUAGACGGAUGUGCAAGUCUGGAGUGAAAGCCCGGGGCUCAACCCCGGGACUGCUUUGGAAACCGUAGAUCUAGAGUGCUGGAGAGGUAAGUGGAAUUCCUAGUGUAGCGGUGAAAUGCGUAGAUAUUAGGAGGAACACCAGUGGCGAAGGCGGCUUACUGGACAGUAACUGACGUUGAGGCUCGAAAGCGUGGGGAGCAAACA
This 402-nucleotide ribosomal RNA is filed under the name uncultured bacterium. RNAcentral describes it as "bacterial SSU rRNA". It matches the Rfam family "Bacterial small subunit ribosomal RNA", at positions 355 to 774 of the family's 1533-position model. The record is from RNAcentral.